AAAUAAAUACAAAUACAAUCUUUUUUUAAUUAAAGCUAUUUAUUAUUUGCAGGGCUGUAGCUCGCGGGGCCUCAUUGUUUGGGAAUGCUGCGUAACAAAAAGAAAGGCUGUGCACUGAGGAGCUUCUGCGAGAAAUCUCUUCAAAACCGAACCGAACCGAACCGAACCGAACCGAACCAAACCAAACCAAACCAAACCACACCACACCACACCAAACCAAACCAAUCCAAACCAACAACUUACUCUGCAGCCAGGAAUAGCCACUGCCAAAAAUUGACCUGGUACCUGGCAUCAUUCAACAGAACAAGCUAUGAAGGAAUAGUAAUCACCCAGACAUUGUGUGGGUUUGCUUUCCUUCUUCUCCUGGAGGAAUGGAGGGUGUUGUUGACAGCCAGCCUAGAGCCCUCCAGUCUGCCUUCUGCACCUCUCCCAUGCACUACAGGAGCACCAAAGGUGAUGCUUGUUGUGACUCACAGAACAGGAACCAGAAGCGUGCAAGCUGGUAAAUCCGCUUACUAA
Long non-coding RNA from Anser brachyrhynchus (Pink-footed goose), 519 nucleotides. The record is from Ensembl. Lineage: Eukaryota; Metazoa; Chordata; Aves; Anseriformes; Anatidae.